This 1556-nucleotide long non-coding RNA is filed under the name Ricinus communis (castor bean). RNAcentral's name for it is "long non-coding RNA (RCOM_LNC002392)". Lineage: Eukaryota; Viridiplantae; Streptophyta; Magnoliopsida; Malpighiales; Euphorbiaceae. The record is from RNAcentral.
UCUCCUUUACCUACAUUUCGAUGAAGAGACGCCAAGAUGCGCCAGCUUCUUUCAAAGCUUGGGCUGUAGAUCUCUGCGGUCAAUGAUGAUUGCUUCUCUUUAUGAACGUAUUGCUUCUUGAAAUACUUAGAUUGUUCUCAGGUACAUCUUCAACAUAGCACAGAAAGAAGCAGGUUUAAAAUUUUGUAAGUUUUCUGUACCGGUAUGUUGUGAUUUAAACUCUUCAAAUGGCGUUUUUUGCUUGAGCUAAGAUUCUGUAAUUUUGUGCUUCCCCAUCCCCCUUCUUGUAAUUGUACUCGUCUCCUCACUGUACUUAGCAUAUUGGUUGAAUGGAAUUUCAUAAAAUGUUAUGAAAUUUGUUAGCAAAUUGGUUGAAAUGAAUUCCAUAAAAUGUGUUCAACUUAAAUGAAAGUUCAUUGAGAUUAAAAUGUUUUCAACUAUUAUGAAAUUUAUUUGAAAAUUUAAAAUUUCUGUGCAUUAAAUAAUGAAAGUUAACAUAAUCAAAUUUAUAUGAAAUUAACUAUAAUUAAAUUAUAUUUUAAUAAAAUAGAUAGAAUUUUUAAAAUUAGUUAGUCAAUAUAUUUAAUAGUAUAAAAUAUUUUUUUCAAUUUUAUUAUUUUUAUUUUAUUUUUUAUUCAUGUCUUAUUCUUAAAUGAAAUUAAUUUUUUAAUAAAUUUUAACUAAAUAUAAUAUUAUAAUUCUAUAUAAUUAAAUUUAUGAAUCGAGUAUAUCUAAAUUGAAUUUUAACAAAAUAAGUAUAAUUUUUAAAUAAAUUUUAUAUUAAUAAAUCAAUAUAUUUUAUAAAAUUGAAAUAUAUAUUUUUUAAUUUUUUUAUUUCGUUUUAUUUUCUUUUUCAUGUCUUCUCUUUUUUAUAAUUUUUUUAUAAUAUUUAUUUUCAACACGACAUUACUUCAUUUGAAAAGAAAUUCAUAGUUACUGUAUAAAAAUUUAAAUAAAAUUUUUAAUAGAUUUUAACCGAAUAUAACGUUGAAAUUUUUUCAACUCGAAUUUUAAUAUUAGAUAAACUCUAACAAAAUUCUGAACACAACAUUGUCCUUGGUUUGUGAUGCUAUGGUAAAAUGAUGAGCAUUAGUUGGCUUGAAUCAUAUAAAACUGAGCUAAAAACUAUAUUUCCCUCUGGUGGUCUGAUGUUUUCCUUCACUGAAUGUAGCUAAGAUGAGAAAGUGAAACCCUAGAAUUAUGCAAAUUCAUGUAAUGUGUGGCUGAGAUUGCGACUGUUCCUGAUGACGGUGGGUUGGAGAUAUGAUUUAUGGCCACAUGUAGAUCACAUGACCAACUAGUUGUAGAUGGAGCUUGGUGACUUGGAGCUGAGGUGGCAAGCAGCUCAAUAAUUUUUAUUUAAAUUUGUGGACAUAACAGAGAUGGAAAAAGAAUAUAUAUAUAUAUUCGGAAUAUGCUUUGCUAUAAAUAUUGUUGUCGCACUUGUAAAAGAUAAAAGACAUUAUUUAGACUCCAUAACAAUACUUGUGUAAAAAAAUUUAAAAACCUAAUUUUCAGAAUUGAUUUAUGGAUGGCACUUUGGAGGAAUAAUUAAA